ACGUAGGGGACGAGCGUUGUCCGGAUUUACUGGGCGUAAAGGGCGCGUCUUCUUUCCUUUCCUUCAGCUGUGAAAUGGUUUGGCUUAACCGGAUCAUGCGGUUGAAACUGGAUGACUGGAGUGCUGGAGAGGCAAGUGGAAUUCCCAGUGUAGCGGUGAAAUGCGUAGAUAUUGGGAAGAACACCGGUGGCGAAGGCGACUUGCUGGCCAGCAACUGACGCUGAGGCGCGAAAGCCAGGGGAGCAAACGG
Molecule: ribosomal RNA, 250 nt
Filed under: uncultured prokaryote
Description: partial 16S rRNA
Rfam family: Bacterial small subunit ribosomal RNA
Source: RNAcentral